GGCUGUUGGCCAAUUUCCUGUCCAAAGGGUGUUUAUUCAUCAUCAGCGAGGAGGAUGGGAAUGCUCCGUGAGAAUCCAGUUACACAGCUUCCCCGGAGCGAUGAAUUGUCCCCACCCAGAACUACUUACGAAGAAGGAAGAAGGAACAUCAGAUGCGGAGUUUUCACAGACGGUCCUCAAUCAACCGCACUAAAAGUCGGAGGGAAAUACGGAUAUACCCGGGAUAAGCACCGGGAAAAAGCGGUAACGCAGCGUCACCACGCCGUUGAAAAACCGCUACGUGGGCAUCGGCCCUAAGGCGGAGGAACUGGCACGCUGUAUCAUCCAGUCAUGCAGUAAAUCAAGAAAUGGAAAUAAAAUUUUACAGGAUGGAACCCGCGCCGCCGAUUUUUAAAUAGGAGGACGGAAAGGACAAUUAGUGGAAAUAAAAUGGAUGUUAAGUCUUCCUCGCUGACAUCGUAUUCAACAUCCUUAUUGAUAUGAUUACUAGACCAACAACAGCCAAAAUUUAUUCUUUUAUUCUUUCAGUUAUUUGUCUAUGUAUAGCUAUAGCUAUUUAUGUAGGUAGACGAGAAAUAGGAAAAAAAAUGUUUGGCUGUAAUAUCGCGAAUUAUGAGACGAGACUACCUCGAACAGGACGAUUUAGUUGAUGAAGAAGGUACCGCAAAACUUUCAUCAGUAUUGCUUAAUUGAAAUACUAGAUUGAAGAUUGAACAGAAAAUGUUUGCUCAGGUUAUAUGUACUAAUGACUGUCAGAAAAGGUUUUUCUAAAUUAUGGAUAUCAACUUUGUAUAUGUAAUUUCAAAAUCAUUGAUAAUGUAUUCCUUGGAGAAAGGUGACCAAAGCAUUGGACAAAAACAAGUCCAUAGGAAGUUAGAAUGAUAAAAAUGUUUUAGUAUUUUUAUAAGCUACAUUUACUAUUUUAAAAUGCAUUUUUUAUAUUCUAUGCUUUGAGUCGUUCUUAAUAGUUGUAUUUCAUAUAGUUUUCACUUAUACUAUAAAGACAGAUAUGUUACUCGUAACACGAUUCAAGGCUAGCUAUCAUGACGACAAUAAUUAAUGCUUGGACGAUCGCAACUACUCUGUCUCUGGUUUCAAAUAUGUCAAUGAGUUAGGCACAUAUGUUAAGCAGACACGCAUUGCAUUUUACUUGACUAUAUGUUAAAAUGGGCACAUGUAUACAAUUUCAGUCCUAGUGGAAGAAAAUAGUAAUUUAUUCUAUGCUCAAUUCACUUGCCUUGUUUUAAGACUCAAGUUAAAACUAUGCCUAAUAUAAUUAAUGCUUGGAGUGUAGGUUACGUUCGCAAGAACUAUUCUAUUUGUAGGACACUCGCUAAUAUGGGUUGACAAAAUCUGCCAUGCAAUAUAUUAUAUUUUGUAUUUGUAAGUUAAAAAGCAGGCCAAGUUACAGUUGGAAUGUAUAGACAUAGAAAAUGAAAAAAUAGUGAUUUAGAAAGAUGACGGAUUAUAAAAUAAUAUAAAAAUAAAAUAAAAUUUUCAUUCUGUCAAAAAUAAUAAAAUGUAUUUAGUAUAUUUUUUUGUAUUUACAAGAAAAAAUAACAUAACUAUAAUAACUGAAAUAAAAUCUCGAUUAAGAAUUUCAUUAGGUAUACUUAUUGAAUUCCAUAAGGUUGUCUUACAAAAUUCAUAAGGUAAUUUUAUGAGAAACAUAAACAUCCACUAUGCGCCUGGUUCAUCCAAAGUUCAUUCAGCAUCAUAAGGUAACCUUAUGAUUUUCAAAGUGUUUCCUUGUGGCUAAUUUUCAUAAGGCAAGUUAAUGAUAUCCGGAAGGU
Long non-coding RNA from Armigeres subalbatus, 1793 nucleotides. RefSeq lists it as uncharacterized. NCBI's taxonomy places the organism in Eukaryota, Metazoa, Arthropoda, Insecta, Diptera, Culicidae. The record is from RefSeq and is a predicted model, not a curated record. The transcript has 3 exons.